CUGUCACAGAGCUCAUCAAUGAGUUUCCCAUGAAGAAUCCCCCAGUUUGCUGGAUCUAAUUCCCAAGCAGACAAGGAAAUGGCCCUAAUGUUGAACUCUGAUUCCAUCCUUCCACACCUGUUCUAAUGGGAUCAGCUACAUAACUCUCAUGGGAUAAGCUACACAACACACCUGUUCUAAUGGGAUCAGCAAGACAAUACACCUAUUCUCAAGGGAUCAGCUACACAACACACCUGUUCUAAUGGGAUCAGCUAGACAAUACACCUAUUCUCAAGGGAUCAGCUACACAACACACCUAUUCUCAUGGGAUCAGCUACACAACACACCUGUUCUCAUGGAAUCAGCCACACAACACACCUGUUCUCAUGGAAUCAGCUAGACAACACACCUGUUCUAAUGGGAUCAGCUAGACAACACACCUGUUCUAAUGGGAUCAGCUAGACAACACACCUGUUCUAAUGGGAUCAGCUAGACAACACACCUGUUCUAAUGGGAUCAGCUAGACAACACACCUUUUCUAAUGGGAUUUAAUUUAGAACUGACAAAGCAAUGGAGUGAUUACUGUACCUGGGAACAUCCCUGCCAACUAAAUCAAAAUAAAUAAAAUAUGAGAGUAAAA
Molecule: long non-coding RNA, 619 nt
Organism: Esox lucius (northern pike)
Lineage: Eukaryota; Metazoa; Chordata; Actinopteri; Esociformes; Esocidae
Exons: 2
Source: RefSeq, a predicted model, not a curated record